This 1256-nucleotide ribosomal RNA is filed under the name Escherichia coli. RNAcentral describes it as "partial 23S ribosomal RNA". It matches the Rfam family "Bacterial large subunit ribosomal RNA", at positions 292 to 1557 of the family's 2925-position model. Lineage: Bacteria; Pseudomonadati; Pseudomonadota; Gammaproteobacteria; Enterobacterales; Enterobacteriaceae. The record is from RNAcentral.
GGGGAGCAGCCCAGAGCCUGAAUCAGUAUGUGUGUUAGUGGAAGCGUCUGGAAAGGCGCGCGAUACAGGGUGACAGCCCCGUACACAAAAAUGCACAUGCUGUGAGCUCGAUGAGUAGGGCGGGACACGUGGUAUCCUGUCUGAAUAUGGGGGGACCAUCCUCCAAGGCUAAAUACUCCUGACUGACCGAUAGUGAACCAGUACCGUGAGGGAAAGGCGAAAAGAACCCCGGCGAGGGGAGUGAAAAAGAACCUGAAACCGUGUACGUACAAGCAGUGGGAGCACGCUUAGGCGUGUGACUGCGUACCUUUUGUAUAAUGGGUCAGCGACUUAUAUUCUGUAGCAAGGUUAACCGAAUAGGGGAGCCGAAGGGAAACCGAGUCUUAACUGGGCGUUAAGUUGCAGGGUAUAGACCCGAAACCCGGUGAUCUAGCCAUGGGCAGGUUGAAGGUUGGGUAACACUAACUGGAGGACCGAACCGACUAAUGUUGAAAAAUUAGCGGAUGACUUGUGGCUGGGGGUGAAAGGCCAAUCAAACCGGGAGAUAGCUGGUUCUCCCCGAAAGCUAUUUAGGUAGCGCCUCGUGAAUUCAUCUCCGGGGGUAGAGCACUGUUUCGGCAAGGGGGUCAUCCCGACUUACCAACCCGAUGCAAACUGCGAAUACCGGAGAAUGUUAUCACGGGAGACACACGGCGGGUGCUAACGUCCGUCGUGAAGAGGGAAACAACCCAGACCGCCAGCUAAGGUCCCAAAGUCAUGGUUAAGUGGGAAACGAUGUGGGAAGGCCCAGACAGCCAGGAUGUUGGCUUAGAAGCAGCCAUCAUUUAAAGAAAGCGUAAUAGCUCACUGGUCGAGUCGGCCUGCGCGGAAGAUGUAACGGGGCUAAACCAUGCACCGAAGCUGCGGCAGCGACGCUGAUGCGUUGUUGGGUAGGGGAGCGUUCUGUAAGCCUGCGAAGGUGUGCUGUGAGGCAUGCUGGAGGUAUCAGAAGUGCGAAUGCUGACAUAAGUAACGAUAAAGCGGGUGAAAAGCCCGCUCGCCGGAAGACCAAGGGUUCCUGUCCAACGUUAAUCGGGGCAGGGUGAGUCGACCCCUAAGGCGAGGCCGAAAGGCGUAGUCGAUGGGAAACAGGUUAAUAUUCCUGUACUUGGUGUUACUGCGAAGGGGGGACGGAGAAGGCUAUGUUGGCCGGGCGACGGUUGUCCCGGUUUAAGCGUGUAGGCUGGUUUUCCAGGCAAAUCCGGAAAAUCAAGGCU